CGUCCUCCCACCCUCCACCCUUAGAAAGGCCCCAGUGUGAGGUUUUCUCUUCUAUGUGUCCCUAAGUUCUCACCAUUUAGUUCCCACUUAUAAGUGAGAACAUGUGGUAUUUGGUUUUCUGUUCCUGUGUGAGCUUGCUAUUUUCUUCUAAACAUCAAGGUAUAUCUCAGAACACUUUAGUGACAAAAGAUUUGGGAAUCUGGCUUGAUAGCUCAACAGUUUAGACCACAAAGUUAACAUUAGGUGACAUACAUCUUACAACACACAUUACCUCAGCUCUUCUUAUCUUUUUAAUUUGUUGACACUGAUGAAAAAAACUACAGAUCAGUAAGAUAUAUGCAUAUUUAUAGGAAACCUGACACUUUAUAUCCUGAAUUCAAUUCAUCUUAUUGUUCCCAGAGGGAGAAUCGUUGGUGGGUCUCCAGCCAGGGCCAUUCCUAAGUAUGAAACUCCCUGAACAUCAACUAAAACAAGUAUGUAAAUAGCAGCCACCAUUUUCUGAGCAUUUCCUAUGUGCAAGAAAUAUUCUUCAGAUAUUAUCUCAUUGAAUUCUCAUAGUGUUCCCAUAAGGUAAGUGUUAUUUAUUAGACUAUUACAGUCUAUUUCCAGUAAUAGAAGAUGUAUAUUUAUUGUGAAGAAGAUAUGAACGUAUCUUCAAUUGACCCACAAUUGAAAAAACAUAUGGAUAAUUAUCAGGGAAGUUUUUGAGUGAAGGUCAAUUAACUGACUAGCUUCAAGUCAGUUAUUUUCAUCUUAACAUGAACCUCUUGAUUGGUUACUAAUCAAUCAGGUUCCAAAUUAUCUUUUCUUUAGCACAUAAUUGCUAGAAAUAUUGUAAUAUAUCUAAUGGGAGAAAAAGAAAUUGUUAAUUGAUAAUUAU
RNAcentral lists this long non-coding RNA (880 nucleotides) under Pan troglodytes (chimpanzee). RNAcentral's name for it is "long non-coding RNA NONPTRT016256". The record is from RNAcentral. Lineage: Eukaryota; Metazoa; Chordata; Mammalia; Primates; Hominidae.